This 405-nucleotide ribosomal RNA is filed under the name uncultured beta proteobacterium. RNAcentral describes it as "bacterial SSU rRNA". It matches the Rfam family "Bacterial small subunit ribosomal RNA", at positions 9 to 416 of the family's 1533-position model. The record is from RNAcentral. Lineage: Bacteria; Pseudomonadati; Pseudomonadota; Betaproteobacteria.
GAGUUUGAUCGUGGCUCAGAUUGAACGCUGGCGGCAUGCUUUACACAUGCAAGUCGAGCGGCAGCGCGGGGGCAACCCUGGCGGCGAGCGGCGAACGGGUGAGUAAUAGAUAGGAACGUGUCCGGGAGUGGGGGAUAACUAGCCGAAAGGUUAGCUAAUACCGCAUAUUCUCUACGGAGGAAAGCGGGGGAUCGCAAGACCUCGCGCUCGCGGAGUGGCCUAUCUCCGAUUAGCUGGUUGGUGAGGUAAAGGCUUACCAAGGCGACGAUCGGUAGCUGGUCUGAGAGGAUGAUCAGCCACACUGGGACUGAGACACGGCCCAGACUCCUACGGGAGGCAGCAGUGGGGAAUUUUGGACAAUGGGGGCAACCCUGAUCCAGCCAUGCCGCGUGCGGGAAGAAGGCC